GUUUUUAUUUUCUUAAUCAUUCGGCCGUGCAGGCCGAGACUUAAGAAAAUAAGAGGGGCAACGUGCAGUACGAACAUUACCAAUGUGAUGGCCGAGAAUUGAUGGUAAACCAAGCGGCCGAGAAUCAAAUUUUUCUUGGUCUCGUUUUCUUUGGCCAAUUCGACCAAAUGGAGUGGGCAGCCUAAAGGUGCUACGACCAUUUUUCGUCUCGGACAAGAACCUUUUCAUCAUCAAGUGGUUCCACUAGGUGGCAUUUGUCAGGAGGAAAAAAAAAAUAUAUAUAUAUAUAUAUGCUUGGUGCAGUAUGCAAUUUGUUUGAAAUAUCAAGCCAGCGAGCCAUUAUAACCCCAGUGUUAAAGCCAGUCUACAAUCCGGAUAUAUAUGCGGCACCUUUUCUUCUCAGUAGUGGCAACCUGAAACAAUAUAUAUAUAUGCCAACUGCAUGUACAGCAGCGUCACAGAUUGAGACAAGGGGGUCUGUUGAAAAAAAAUAAAAUAAAAUAUCCAGACACAUGCAAGCCAAGGUCAACAAGUGGAGUAUCGUCGACUCGGCCAAUACGUCAAGUGCUUUAGUCCGAGCUCAGGUGCCCUCGGCCAUGUGGUUUUUUUUUUCCAUUCGGCCAUUAGACCACGACAUCUUCGUCUUAUCGAUUCGCAGCCUAUUUUCUCGUUUAAGAUGCUACAUGAUCAUAUAGUCUCGGCUGUUGUUCAUCUUGGUAUGACCAAACAUGUUCCCUGGCCGAUGACGUUCCUCGGCCACUUUUACAUGUGACUCUCUGAUGUUUUCGGCCCCAUAUAUAUAGAUAAGCAGCCUUCAUUUUCAAUGAAUGGUUCCAAGACAAAAAAUGGCCACAAUUUUUGGGAAGCCAGUUCAAAAAGACAUGUUCCAGUAGCCAUGACUUUUGGGUGGUAGGCCCCUAGCCUAAUAUUAUUUAGUCAAAAGUCUUUGAAUGGGGUCAUUCGACAGUAAAGUGGAGACAUUAUUAAUGGCAGUUCUUCGACUGGUGAAUUCGGCCGAUGCACGUAUUCGGCCAGUUGUUGAUGUGACUUCGAUUUGAUGUGGAGAUAAUUUGUGAUUUAUUAGUUCUUGGCGAUUAUAGAAG
RNAcentral lists this long non-coding RNA (1103 nucleotides) under Malus domestica (apple). RNAcentral describes it as "long non-coding RNA (MDOM_LNC016697)". Lineage: Eukaryota; Viridiplantae; Streptophyta; Magnoliopsida; Rosales; Rosaceae. The record is from RNAcentral.